UAGUUUUUUGCAUUUUUCCCACACAAAUAUGAAUAUUUGUGUGGGAAAAAUGCAAAAAAUUA
This 62-nucleotide microRNA precursor is filed under the name Pelobates cultripes (western spadefoot toad). The record is from RNAcentral. Lineage: Eukaryota; Metazoa; Chordata; Amphibia; Anura; Pelobatidae.